AGUAGAGUCAGUGUUUGCUGCGUAUUAUAAAAUAUUUUCUAGAGUACAUAUCGCGACUCUGCUUUUUCCUUUUUCAUCGUGAAAGUAGAGUCACUACAAUUGUUCGCCGAAAAUUAUUCACGGUCGCGUUACUAGUAUUUCAUAUCUUUAUUUUUAUUUUUAAUUUUUUUUUUAAUUGCUCGAUAUAUCCGGUAUUAGAGUCAGUGCACCACUGAAGAGGAGUCUUGGGCGUUGCUUCAUAAGGAAAGAGUAUUUCUGCUCUUUUGCAACAGUUGGUCGCGUGGUGCAGCACCAGUACAUCACG
Molecule: long non-coding RNA, 304 nt
Organism: Osmia bicornis bicornis
Lineage: Eukaryota; Metazoa; Arthropoda; Insecta; Hymenoptera; Megachilidae
Exons: 2
Source: RefSeq, a predicted model, not a curated record